GAUGAACGCUAGCGGGAGGCUUAAUACAUGCAAGUCGAGCGGUAAUUUAGGAAUAGCAAUAUUUCUGAGCUAGAGCGGCGCACGGGUGAGUAACGCGUACACGACCUGCCCUUUACUGGGGGAUAGCCUUGGGAAACUGAGAUUAAUACCCCAUGGUAUUAUUAUGCUGCAUGGUAUAAUAAUUAAAGCUGAGGCGGUAAAGGAUGGGUGUGCGUCUGAUUAGCUAGUUGGUAGGGUAACGGGCCUACCAAGGCGAUGAUCAGUAGGGGGCGUGAGAGCGUGACCCCCCACACGGGUACUGAGACACGGACCCGACUCCUACGGGAGGCAGCAGUAAGGAAUAUUGGUCAAUGGAGGGAACUCUGAACCAGCCAUCCCGCGUGCAGGAU
This 389-nucleotide ribosomal RNA is filed under the name uncultured bacterium. Its description in RNAcentral is "bacterial SSU rRNA". It matches the Rfam family "Bacterial small subunit ribosomal RNA", at positions 28 to 409 of the family's 1533-position model. The record is from RNAcentral.